Molecule: long non-coding RNA, 1102 nt
Organism: Globicephala melas (long-finned pilot whale)
Lineage: Eukaryota; Metazoa; Chordata; Mammalia; Artiodactyla; Delphinidae
Source: RefSeq, a predicted model, not a curated record
AGGGUUACGAGUCUAAAGAUAAUGCCCAAUGGAAUUACAGAAGUGUGUUCCUCAGAUGGGUCCAAGAAAAGACAUUGAUUUUCCAUUUGUUCAGCAUUUUCUUGUGGUAAAGAGAUGAGUGCUGGGGUGACGGUGACAAAAAACGAGGUAGAAGAGUGCUGCAAGUGCUGAAGAACUAACUGACAAACUGUUUAAAGCUUAUUCUUCAAAGAGCAUGAUAAACCUGCCUCCCUGUACUCAGCUUCUCUACCUCUCAGGGCUGCUCUUCACUCAUAACUUCAAAUCCCAUGGAUACUGCUUUCUUCUUUCCAUCUGAAGUUUCUCCACUCCUGUCUUCCCUACAGCUUAUCUCAGAGGACCCCCUUGGGGCCAGUUAAAUCAUCGUGCAGGAUGGAACCUUCUUUUGUCAUUAUCUUCCUGCCAAGUCAUGUCAUGUUAUGAGUCAGAAACCUGUUUGGUCUUGCAGAUGGGAUUUUGGUGUCUGAAUCCUACCAUUCAUUCCUUCUCUACUCAGGGGUUCCCCUGCUAAGGGAAGAUACCAGAAAGGAAAAGAGCCAAAUGGAAAACAAAGCACUAUUUGUAUUAAGCAUUACCUUGUCUACCACACGAUGGUAAAAAUUGCCUUGGAAAAUGUGGCUGAAGCUGAGGAUGUUCAGUGAGGCUUCCAGCUUCUUCCCCCUGAGUCUGUCCAAACAGUCUUCUCAGGUGGAGAGUCUGGAAUGGAGGACGGGGGAGGGAAGCCAGGCCUGACUCAAGGGCAUGAGCCCUGCCAGGUGGAAAACACCCAGUAUCAUCUGAGAAGCUAGACCCACUUAUGGAACCAACUAGUUGGAAGAAAGGAAGCAGAAGCGAAGAAGACAAACAUUGAUCCUGACCAUGAAAUGUGACCCUCUUAGAGCCUCACUGUCUAACAUGGGAGCCACUAGCCACAUGUGGCCACUGAAUGCUUGAAAACAUGGCAAGUGUGAAGUGAGAUCUCUCGUUAAGUGUAUAAUACAAACUUGAUUUUGAAGACAGUACAAAAGAAUGUAAAGUACCUUAUUAAUAUUUUGUAUAUUGCUUAUUUGUUUAAAUGAUAAUAUUUUAGAUAUAUUGGGUAAAA